GGAUGGGGUGCUAGUGCGCAGGCGCAGGGCGCGCGGCAAGUACCGCGUGCUCUUCUAAUCUCCCGCUGGCCUGGGCCGUGAGCCAGGGGCUGGGGCUUGGUUUAGCGGGCAGCCCAGGCUGGGAGGGUGCUCGGCUCUGGUGGGAAGGGGCGCCCUUGGAGACAGGGCUAGGGUGUCAGCCUGAGGGUCAGUGCAGUGCCCUCCUUAGCAGGCCCGGCUCACUCUCCACCCGCGAGGGAGCCUGGGCCACUGAACGGAAAGGACGAUAGAAGUCGUGGGCAGAAGGAGAGCAAGCAAGAGGGAGCCCCAUACGGGGGCCUGUUGAUGAGGGGGUUCGGGUCCCUUUUGCCAAUACUAUUCGGGUCCCUCCUGACCCUAUAGCUACUAUGAAACUAUUGUCAGGGGCCUAAAAGGAGUCCCAAACAGGCGGGGUUACGAUGGAGGCAUCUGAAUUGCAGUUGUAAGCCAAGGGGUCAGGGAUAAGAAGCAAGGAUCCACACAGGAGCCCCAAGCCAAGGGGUUAGGGCAGGGCAGGACCUGGCAAGGAUUCAGGCUGGAGCCAGACAGGGGCAUCUGUGAUAGACAAUUGCUGCUUACGUGCCUGCAGACACCCCCUUGCAGGUCACUAGGACCAGCUGCAGUGGACAUUUGCUGAUAUUUUGAAAAACUGCCUGGAUGGAGAUGGGAGGACCCAAAAAGAGGACAUAUCUGGCAAAACCCAGACAUACUUUAACCCUAGGUAAAGUGAAAGAAACAGAGUUAUCUGUCGAACCACGUAUAUCAACGCCAGCAAGGAAUGAAGGUGGAGAUAAAAAUACAGCACUUGGGAACAGGAAACAGGACCACAUUGAAAUGGUACUGCAAGAUGGACAUUUGCUUUGUUUCUUUUUCCUAUACCUAAUAAGGUAAAAGAAGAGGUCAAUGGAUCUGCUUGUAGAUAUUAUGAAUCUGAAUACACAUGCUGUCCUAGAACUGAAAGACAAAUGCACACUAUUAUGGUCUAAUCUUCUAGACUGGAUAGGCAAUUGUGGACUGAUGGCAGAUGCUCCAUAAUCAAAGUUGCAGGACUCUACCACAAAACUGUCACUGGGAUCCUGAAAAUUGAAAAAUAAGCAAAUCAGCUUAAUAAUAUGGCUUUCCCUUGGUGCCUCAUCUCCUGAAGGUCUCUUCCCACCUUCUUCCUGUCUGAAGAAACUGAAACUGGAAGGCUUCAUAACCCUGCCCUUCUCAUAGAGCCAUUUUUACCUUCCUACCAGUCAGCAGGCAGUACAGUGACUGCUUGAAGUUUAAAACACUUUGUCAUUGUCCCUUAAAAAAUGGAAAUAGUGCUGCUGCUUAGUUGCUGGACAUUCCAUAAUUUAUGGCCACUGAGAAUGCAAAAUGAUUGGUAUGUCUGGGUGACAGUCAGGAGCUAUGGAAAGGAUGAAGUGUUCCACAUAGUUCCUCUCCCCAUAACGUUGGAAAAUAAAUUCAUUACUAGUUUCAGCCUGUGAACAUGGCCAUUAUCAGUGGAUUGAGCUAUUUUUUAAAGAUCUAUGGCUGAGUCAGUAACCUGGUUUUCCCUAAUUUGGCAAGACCCUCCUAGAAAACAGAUGUUGUUAUUAGGAAAGUCAAAGCAAGAUUAUCACUUGACAGAUUGAGGCUAGAUCCUCAGCUGCUGCAAAUCAAUAAGGUUCCUUUGAACUCAAGGGAUCUGAUUUACACCAGCUGAGGGCUUGGCUGGACAGGAAAUAAAAAUACAAAAAUGGAGGCAAUGCGAGCAGCUUAUUACAGCUCUUCUUUUAGACAGGCAGUUGAUUGUUAAAACUAAAGAAGAAAAAAAAUUUGGACCUUGAGAAUAUAGAGUACAUAGAAGAUUUUUCUUGGAAAAAGACAACACAGCUGCAGGUCACAGCAAGUUGAAACUAAAAUAAAGAUCAAGAGGUUCAGGCAAGAUAAUUGGCCAACAACUCCACUGAUCUCUGUAUAAUAGAAAACUGAAUGAAGCCAUGUAGUUUACUCCUCUACAGUCAUAUGGCCUCCCUCUACACUCAGAAUCAAUUGUGAAUUCAUCACAACCCAUCAUAGCGUUUGCUUUUGAAUGCAAGAAGGCAGAUACUGUAAAGGAAUACAGAUGGCAAUUGUUUCUUCACAAAACUGGAAGCUUCCUUUGGUCGUCUUAUAGAAUUUAAAUUGCUGUUACUUAUUAAUAUGAUUGAUAAGUACUGUGUGGUUAUGUUCUAAUACAGUUAAUAUUAUACAGAAUAAAUCAGCGCCUUGUUACCCUCCGUGUCAUAGAGUCUAUGAGACAGUGAAAGAAAACAUUCCCUUAGAAACCCUUGGUAUAACUUUAUUCUCACUUUUUCUUGCUAUGCUAUUUUUGAAGGUAUUGAUAUAUUACCUAUGCUAGAUGGUUCUCUUCCUGAUGUAAGAAAAAAAGAUCUACCUAGAUAUCUACCUAUACCAUACCCAUCAUAGCAAUUCUGACACAAGCAUCAGUGGAUUUAUCCUCACAAGACCCCUGUGAGGCAGAGUAUAUCAUCUUCAUCUUACAGGAGGGGCAGGGUCAGAAUCAGAGAAGAAAAGUAUUCUCCCAAAGGUUACACACAGAAUCUGGCUGAAUGAGAAUUGAACUAGAUUCUAGCCUCUAUCCUUGGCAAGACCUUUGAGAAAAUAGUUAAGGAUCACAUUUGUGGGGGACCAGUGGGUAAACUAAUGCUAAGGGGCAAUGAGCAUAGGUUCAUAGCAGGCAGAUCCUGCCUGACUAACACUAACAUGGUUUCUUUUUACGACUGAGUCACAAAAUGCUUGGAUGAAGGAAUAGAGGUAGAUGUUAUUUACUUAGAUUUUAAAAAGGCCUUUGACACAGUGCCAUAUCCAAUUCUUAUGAAUAAACUAAACAGUUGCAAUGUAGAUUAUUACACAGUCUAGGGAGUGGAAAAUUGGCUUAUGGGAUGCACCCAGAGAGUGGUGGUGAAUGGGUUGGUUUCUACCUGGAGAAAUGUGGGCAGUGGAGUCCCCCAAGGCUCUAUCCUGGGACCGGUACUGUUCAACAUCUUCAUUAGUGACCUGGACAAGGGAGUAGAAAGCACCCUGCCCAAGUUUGCAGAUGACACCAAACUAUGGGUGGAGGUAAACAAACUACAGGGCAGGGAGCGAAUCCAGGUGGAUUUGGACAGGCUGGGGAAGUAGACAGAACAAAAUAGGAUGCAGUUUAACAAAGAUAAGUGCCAUGUGUUGCACCUAGGGAGGAAGAAUCAUAAAUUAUCAUCAACACUCCUAUAGCCUGGGAGGUAGCAUUCUAAGUAGCACAACUGCGGAAAGGGAUUUCAGUCAUAGGUGACUCCAAAAUGAACACGAGUCACCAAUGUGAUGAAGUAAUAAGUAAAGAUAACGGUACUCUUUCUUGCAUAAGUAGGUGCAUCACAAACAGAUCUAGGGAGGUGGUACCUCCCCUCUAUGCAGCAUUGGUCAGGUCACCUCUGGAGUACCGCAUCCAGUUUUGCGUGCUGCACUUCAGGAGGAACGUAGAUAACCUGGAAAGGGUUCAGAGGAGGGCCACCCAUCUGGUUAAAGGCUUACAGGGAAAACCCUAUGAGGACCGAUUGAGUGACCUGAACCUCUUCAGCCUCUGAGUUUGUGGCCGUCUACAAACCCAUCAGGAAAUAGGGGAUAUGAUGUUUACCAGGGCACCGAUCAGUGUAACUAGAAAUAAUGGCCACAAACUGAAGGAGAGCAAAUUCAGACUGGACAUCAGAAAAAAGUUCUUUACAGUGAGGGUUGCCAAAAUAUGGAAUAUGCUUCCAAGGGAGGCGGUGCUGUCCACUUCCUUGGAGGUAUUUAAGAAGAGAUUGGACAAACUGGAGAUUGGACAAACCUGGCUAGGGUAUCUGACCCCAGCACUCUUUCCUGCCCAGGGCAGGGGGUUGGACUCGAUAAUCUAAUAUGUCCCUUCCAACCCUAGAAUCUAUGAAAUCUAAGAUCUUCCAUGUACUAGCCAAGAACCUUAACCACAAGGCAAAAUUACCACCAUUCUUCUGCCCCUCUAGAGUAAUCUAAUCCCUUCUGGAAACAUUUGCGGUUUCUUCAGCUGUUACAUGCUUUGCAUCCUGAAAUUCAGUCUUCAAGCUAUCCUUCUACUAAGGAAAUAUUUCCUCCUGGAACUUAUCAAAUAAUGCUCAAGGGGACCAAAAUAACAGAUUCCUGUUCAGGACUGGUUCUAUAUAAAUGCAUCAAGAAGGAGUUUUUGAUACUUAAAGGCCUAGAUUCUUCUAUUAAAAGGUUUCAAUUUAAUAUAUAAUGUGAGUUUUGAGGGGGACCUUUCAAUAAAUAUCCUAAAGAGGUAGGGUUUGUCCAAAUCCCAGUACUUACAUUAAGUACUUACUAACCCUUCUUAAGUCUUAUGUAAAGAAUGUACUUCUAAGUUUUCAUGACUCUUGGGCUUUGUUAAAAACAUAUUGUAUGGUUUUAGUUGUCAUUCAUAUAAUUCCUCAUUCAUUAUAAAAAAAGGUUACCUGUACAAAUCGGUAGUUCUUAUUUUUGUGAAAGUAUACUCAGUGUCUAUGCUCACAAUUGCUUUUUAAUGUAGUAAACUAUGGCUGUUAGCUCUAACAGUUUGAUCUGUGCUGUAACAUGAGACAUUUUCAUAGUGUGUGCACGUGUGUGUGUAUGUGUGUGUGUGUCUGCAUUAUCACUGGGGUUCUUUAGGUUCUUUGGUAGCUGAAUGGUCAGGUGGGAUACUCCCAUGCCUACUUGAAGACAGAGGGAGUAUCCCAACAAGUGCAGAUGCAGGGGCGUGCAUUUCCCAAGGGGCAAAUAUGUGCCAUUGCUAUUUGUUGCCAGGCACACCCCUGCACAUGUGCGCCAGUGCAUGACAAAGUGACCUGGAGGGGGGUCACUACUACAGAUUUAGUGACAAAGAACAUCUCAACAAACAGUGUAGCUUGAGAAAUACAGGUUUGUUCAUGGAGAAUUCACUAUUACAAUAUGCCAUUAGGUGGUACUGUUCUCUUCUGCAGAGUCUACUGGGAUGGCAGUCCAUUUAUUAUUAAUUAUAUAUUCAUCCCUUAAAAUAUUUCACUGACAUAUUUAGAGCUCUUUUCACUGAUCUUGUUCAGUCAGUCUUGUGAUGAUGCCAAAAUAUGCAGUUGGUGCUGCAUACUGUAAUUCAGAAAAAGGUUAUGACAGGAGAUUUAAGGAACAAACUUUUUCCAGACAUCAAGAACAUUGCAUACUGUAUCUCCUG
This is a long non-coding RNA of Alligator mississippiensis (American alligator), 5224 nucleotides long. RefSeq lists it as uncharacterized. Lineage: Eukaryota; Metazoa; Chordata; Crocodylia; Alligatoridae. The record is from RefSeq and is a predicted model, not a curated record. The transcript is spliced from 5 exons.